AUGUCAGUUUUUAAACUUCCAAAAGGGAUCUGCAAAUCUAUUACUGAUGAGAUUGCGGGAUUUUGGUGGGGUGAUAAGGAGGAGAAAAAGAAAAUGCAUUGGUUUGCAUGGUGGAAGAUGUGUGUUCCAAAGAAAAAAGGUGGUAUGGGCUUCAGGGACCUUCACAGUUUUAACCUUGCUAUGUUAGCAAAACAGUGUUGGCGACUGCUCCAGAAUCCAGACUCUUUGGGUGCACGUGUUCUUAGUGCAAAAUAUUAUCCCGACGGAAACAUCCUGAAUGCGGGACCGAAGAAGGGUUCUUCUUACACUUGGCAGAGCAUUGUCCCAGGUAUCCAAACCUUUAAACGGGGUUGCAUUUGGCGUGUUGGCACGGGAUCAAAAAUCAACAUUUGGCAAGAUCCCUGGAUACCAUCAAGUGAAACUCAAAAAGUAAUAACACCAAGGGGUGAUACACUACUGGGAAAAGUUGAAGAAUUAAUUGAUCCACACACUGGACAGUGGGACGUUGACCUUAUUCAAUCAAUUUUUUCGCCGGUGGAUGUUCAUCGAAUCCUCCAAAUACCUCUUCGAGUGGAAGUGUUAGAGGAUUUUCUUGCAUGGAGUGGUACUCGAUCAGGGACGUUCUCUGUUCGGUCGGCCUAUCAUGUGGAAUUUGAACAUUAG
RNAcentral lists this ribosomal RNA (663 nucleotides) under Triticum aestivum (bread wheat). Its description in RNAcentral is "partial small subunit ribosomal RNA". The record is from RNAcentral. Lineage: Eukaryota; Viridiplantae; Streptophyta; Magnoliopsida; Poales; Poaceae.